Molecule: transfer RNA, 68 nt
Filed under: Bradyrhizobium diazoefficiens
Lineage: Bacteria; Pseudomonadati; Pseudomonadota; Alphaproteobacteria; Hyphomicrobiales; Nitrobacteraceae
Description: tRNA-Gly
Source: RNAcentral
GCCGCCGGAGCUGCGGAACUGCUGCGCGACGCCAUCGCGCGCGGCGGGUUCGAGGUCCGCCAGCGGCA